This 2751-nucleotide long non-coding RNA is filed under the name Canis lupus familiaris (dog). Its description in RNAcentral is "lncRNA (ENSCAFG00000058940.1)". The record is from RNAcentral. Lineage: Eukaryota; Metazoa; Chordata; Mammalia; Carnivora; Canidae.
UUUUCGAGGGAGAAGUGGGCUGGUUCUUAAUGGACGAAGCAGCAUUUGAGAUGAUACUUGAAGGAGACAUAGAAGAGACAGCCACCACACAAGAUGGGGACACUUAGAGCCUUCUCUUCUGUAUCUCCAGUCCCCAGGACCUCUAAAAUUUACUAUGUGAAAGAAUGGACAGGAAUAGUAGCAAAGAUAAAAACACCAUCUGUGUCCUCCUACGGCUUUGGGUUCUGACUGUUAGAGCAGUCUGUGUUUAAAUCCUCACACUUAUUUUGCAUCAAAAUAGAAGAAUCCUAGUGAAUCAAGUACCACCUUUCAUUUGUAAACUUGCAUUUCACCAUUCCAGUUUUAAGUAAUGUUUCCACAUGAAUGCUGAAAGUUUCUCAGGACUUUUUGUUAAGAUGUAAAGCAUUUAUAUUUGAUUUAAGAAAUACCUUUGCAUAUCUCUGCCCCUAAGCACUUGAAGACACUAUAAAUGAAAGCAAAGGAUAAGUUACUGGUAACCCUCAGCCUAAUAUGUUUUCUCUCUCUUAAUUUUCAAGUACAUGUAAAUUGGAAAGUACAGAUUUUACUGCUCAGUAACCGAAUCUGUGGUUUUAUUUUGGAAGAAAACAAGUGUUUACUUUCCAAAAUGUGGUUGUGGAAGGCUGGUUUAUGUUAAGAUACCCUCUGGAUUCAGGUGGUGUCUUCCCUCCUACUUGUCAUGUAUCAGCAUCAAAGGUUCCCUUAUUUUAGAUAUUUACAGAUAUUGCAUGGAUAUAUGUGUGUUAUAGAUGUGGUUUGUAAAGUUAAAGUUCUUGAUAAUGAAUAAUUAAACUCCAGUGGAGAAAAUAAACUGUAAGGAAACAGCCAGUCAGUUUCCUGUGAAAAGUGAGAGAACUCAAUGCUGAGUGUGUAGUUCUUUAGAGAUCGGAAGCCAGAUCUCUCAGGGCAACACCACCCUUUUUGCACAUUUCAGCAGAAACUGGGUCCCUGGUUAAAGGGAUAGAAAGACUUUAUUCUCUGAUUUUAUUAAUGAUUGUUGGAAAUAGUUUGAUUAUCCGGAAGUUCAGCUUCACAUGUUAACUUAAAUUGUCUACAAUACUUUAAUCCCUGUAACUGCUGUCUCCCUCUACCCCAAACUGAAUUGCCUUUGUAAAAUAUCAGACUGCUUGCUUGGGCAAAUUAAUCCCUUUGUCUCUGAGAGACAGAAAUAGUUUUAUGGCUUAAAAUCUCGUGUGUGUGUGUGUGUGUGUGUGUGUGUGUGUGUGGUGUUUAAGCUGUUUUUCUCUCAACAGAAGCUUCAUUUCUAUUUCUGCAACAGGGAGAAUGAACACAUUUUAUUACUUAAAAUUUCAGUUGAUUGUUUUAAUGACCAAGUAUCUAUUGUUCAAUAUCCACCCCCCAUGCUACAUUCAAAUCUGCACAUUUCAUGUGAUAUAGUAUAAUAUAAGAAGUUACUUAUCAGGCUACAUAGUUAAUGAUUCUAUGAUUUCUAUGUUUCCUAAAGCAAGCAAAGUGCCAAAUCCUCGUGAAUAACAAGAAACACUGAUAUGCUUUUAAUGGAAGCUUUUUUCUUUUCUAGAAAUUCAAAGUGUCUACAGCGUCGAAAUGGAUUAACAAUGCACAGCCCAAAAGUAGCAUGACAUUAGCAAUGUACAGAGGCUGGGCAUUUUUUUUUCACAUCAAAACAUCGUAAAGUUGAAUUUAUGCAACAGAUAUUCUCAACUCCUGCCUUACACUGAAGAAGCAGCUGUUGUCCAAGCACACAGUUCAUGUUGUGUGAGGAUGAAGAAGUCUCUCGUGCAUGUUUUUAGUACUUCCUCUGUCCCCAGCUAGUAUCUGCUAGACAAGUCACAAAGGCCACCCAGAGGAUAGCAACAGAUGAUCUCUUUGAAGGUUUUCCUCAGCUCUUGGCUCCGGAGUGCAUAAAUGAGAGGGUCGAUGAUGGAGUUACACAUGAUCAGAAUGAGGUACAAGUUAAAGUGAGACAUGAAGCACACACAGUAUGGAUUCUGGGGACAAGAGAUGUAGAAUAUCAAGUGGAGGAAGAAUGGGCCCAGCAGACGACGAAGACCCCAAUGAGUAUGGUCAAGGUAAUGGCACCCUUCAUGUUGGCCCCUUGGCGGAUGGUGCCGGUGCCCGGGAGGACGGCGAUUCUCUUGAUGUGCAGUCUGGCCAUGAGGAACAUGUGGACGUAGAGAGAAGCCAUGAGGGCCAGCAUGGUGAAGAACAUGGUGAUGAGGCAGAUGAUGACAGCAGUACUGUCCGAGUAAAUGAUGAACAAGAUGCCUGACACCGUGCAAGCCGCCCAGAUGCAACUGAUGAUGAUCCCAACCCGCCUCACCGUCAUGAUGUUAUGGUACUGGAGGGCAUAAAAGAUAGUAAAGUACCUGUCCACUGCAAUUGAGAGCAGGCUGCAAAUCGAGGCGAGCAAGGAGCUACAGAUCACCGAGUCAAUGACAUUAUCAAUAUUCACCGUGAAACUCUGCGCGUCCGUAUCCGUACUGUUCAACAGGGUGAUGACGAUGGUCUCUGACCCGUUGGAAACGCUCACCAGCAUAUCGGCCACAGCCAGGCUACAGAUGAAAAAGUACAUGGGUGAGUGCAGAUUCUUGUUCUUGGCUAUUGCCACGAUCACCAGAAUGUUCUCCAGCAAGCUUAUGACCCCCAGAGUCACGAACACCUCCGGGGAGACGAAGAGUUGCUCGUAGCAUCCCCCGUCGGGGUAGCCUUUGCCAAGGGACUCAGUGGCGUUGCCGUGCUGUCCGUAGGUGC